GACGAACGCUGGCGGCGUGCCUAAUACAUGCAAGUCGAACGCAUUUUCUUUCACCGUAGCUUGCUACACCGAAAGAAAAUGAGUGGCGAACGGGUGAGUAACACGUGGGUAACCUGCCCAUCAGCGGGGGAUAACACUUGGAAACAGGUGCUAAUACCGCAUAAUUCCAUUUACCGCAUGGUAGAUGGAUGAAAGGCGCUUUUGCGUCACUGAUGGAUGGACCCGCGGUGCAUUAGCUAGUUGGUGGGGUAACGGCCUACCAAGGCUGCGAUGCAUAGCCGACCUGAGAGGGUGAUCGGCCACACUGGGACUGAGACACGGCCCAGACUCCUACGGGAGGCAGCAGUAGGGAAUCUUCGGCAAUGGACACAAGUCUGACCGAGCAACGCCGCGUGAGUGAAGAAGGGUUUCGGAUCGUAAAACUCUGUUGUUAGAGAAGAACAAGGAUGAGAGUGGAAAGUUCAUCCCUUGACGGUAGCUAACCAGAAAGCCACGGCUAACUACGUG
This 507-nucleotide ribosomal RNA is filed under the name uncultured bacterium. Its description in RNAcentral is "partial 16S ribosomal RNA". It matches the Rfam family "Bacterial small subunit ribosomal RNA", at positions 28 to 507 of the family's 1533-position model. The record is from RNAcentral.